This 127-nucleotide small RNA is filed under the name Marmota monax (woodchuck). The record is from RNAcentral. Lineage: Eukaryota; Metazoa; Chordata; Mammalia; Rodentia; Sciuridae.
GCUAGGUACAGUGGUGCAUGCCUGUAAUCCCAGGCACUUGGGAGGCUGAGGCAAGAGGAUAGCAUGUUUGAAGCCAGGCUCAGCAACUUAGUGAGGCUUUAAGCAACUCAGUGAGACCCUGUCUCAA